This 1998-nucleotide ribosomal RNA is filed under the name Staphylococcus aureus. Its description in RNAcentral is "partial 23S ribosomal RNA". It matches the Rfam family "Bacterial large subunit ribosomal RNA", at positions 1 to 2011 of the family's 2925-position model. The record is from RNAcentral. Lineage: Bacteria; Bacillati; Bacillota; Bacilli; Caryophanales; Staphylococcaceae.
GGUUAAGUGAAUAAGGGCGCACGGUGGAUGCCUUGGCACUAGGAGCCGAUGAAGGACGGGACUAACACCGAUAUGCUUUGGGGAGCUGUAAGUAAGCUAUGAUCCAGAGAUUUCCGAAUGGGGGAACCCAAUAUCUUUUAUAGGAUAUUACUUUUCAGUGAAUACAUAGCUGAUUAGAGGUAGACGCAGAGAACUGAAACAUCUUAGUACCUGCAGGAAGAGAAAGAAAAUUCGAUUCCCUGAGUAGCGGCGAGCGAAACGGGAAGAGCCCAAACCAACAAGCUUGCUUGUUGGGGUUGUAGGACUCCAAUAUGGUAGUCUGUUAGUAUAGUUGAAGGAUUUGGAAAAUUCCGCUAAAGAGGGUGAAAGCCCCGUAGACGAAAUGCUGACAACACCUAGGAGGAUCCUGAGUACGGCGGAACACGAGAAAUUCCGUCGGAAUCCGCGGGGACCAUCCCGCAAGGCUAAAUACUCCCUAGUGACCGAUAGUGAACCAGUACCGUGAGGGAAAGGUGAAAAGCACCCCGGAAGGGGAGUGAAAUAGAUCCUGAAACCGUGUGCCUACAACAAGUCAAAGCUCGUUAAUGAGUGAUGGCGUGCCUUUUGUAGAAUGAACCGGCGAGUUACGAUUGCAUGCGAGGUUAAGUCGAAGAGACGGAGCCGCAGCGAAAGCGAGUCUGAAUAGGGCGAAUGAGUAUGUAGUCGUAGACCCGAAACCAUGUGAUCUACCCAUGUCCAGGUUGAAGGUGCGGUAAAACGCACUGGAGGACCGAACCCACGUACGUUGAAAAGUGCGGGGAUGAGGUGUGGGUAGCGGAGAAAUUCCAAACGAACUUGGAGAUAGCUGGUUCUCUCCGAAAUAGCUUUAGGGCUAGCCUCGGAAUUGAGAAUGAUGGAGGUAGAGCACUGUUUGGACUAGGGGCCCAUCUCGGGUUACCGAAUUCAGAUAAACUCCGAAUGCCAUUCAUUUAUAUCCGGGAGUCAGACUGCGAGUGAUAAGAUCCGUAGUCGAAAGGGAAACAGCCCAGACCACCAGCUAAGGUCCCAAAAUAUAUGUUAAGUGGAAAAGGAUGUGGGGUUGCACAGACAACUAGGAUGUUGGCUUAGAAGCAGCCACCAUUUAAAGAGUGCGUAAUAGCUCACUAGUCGAGUGACCCUGCGCCGAAAAUGUACCGGGGCUAAACAUAUUACCGAAGCUGUGGACUACACCAUUAGGUGUAGUGGUAGGAGAGCGUUCUAAGGGCGUUGAAGGUCGAUCGUGAGGACGGCUGGAGCGCUUAGAAGUGAGAAUGCCGGUAUGAGUAGCGAAAGACAGGUGAGAAUCCUGUCCACCGUAUGACUAAGGUUUCCUGGGGAAGGCUCGUCCGCCCAGGGUUAGUCGGGACCUAAGCCGAGGCCGAUAGGCGUAGGCGAUGGACAACAGGUUGAUAUUCCUGUACCAGUUGUUUUUGUUUGAGCAAUGGAGGGACGCAGUAGGCUAAGGAAUGCAUGCGAUUGGAAGUGCAUGUCCAAGCAAUGAGUCUUGAGUAGAGUUAAAUGCUUUACUCUCUAAGGACAAGUUGUGACGGGGAGCGAAAUAAUAGUAGCGAAGUUCCUGAUGUCACACUGCCAAGAAAAGCUUCUAGUGAGAAAACAACUGCCCGUACCGUAAACCGACACAGGUAGUCGAGGAGAGUAUCCUAAGGUGAGCGAGCGAACUCUCGUUAAGGAACUCGGCAAAAUGACCCCGUAACUUCGGGAGAAGGGGUGCUGACUUCGGUCAGCCGCAGUGAAUAGGCCCAAGCGACUGUUUAUCAAAAACACAGGUCUCUGCAAAAUCGUAAGAUGAAGUAUAGGGGCUGACGCCUGCCCGGUGCUGGAAGGUUAAGAGGAUGGGUUAGCUUCGGCGAAGCUCAGAAUUGAAGCCCCAGUAAACGGCGGCCGUAACUAUAACGGUCCUAAGGUAGCGAAAUUCCUUGUCGGGUAAGUUCCGACCCGCACGAAAGGCGUAACGAUUUG